AACGAACGCUGGCGGCAGGCCUAACACAUGCAAGUCGAGCGCGCCCUUCGGGGUGAGCGGCGGACGGGUGAGUAACGCGUGGGAACGUGCCCUUUUCUACGGAAUAGCCUCGGGAAACUGAGAGUAAUACCGUAUACGCCCUUUGGGGGAAAGAUUUAUCGGAAAAGGAUCGGCCCGCGUUGGAUUAGGUAGUUGGGGGGGUAAUGGCCUACCAAGCCGACGAUCCAUAGCUGGUUUGAGAGGAUGAUCAGCCACACUGGGACUGAGACACGGCCCAGACUCCUACGGGAGGCAGCAGUGGGGAACCUUAGACAAUGGGGGCAACCCUGAUCGAGCCAUGCCGCGUGAGUGAUGAAGGCCUUAGGGUUGUAAAGCUCUUUCAGCUGGGAAGAUAAUGACGGUACCAGCAGAAGAAGCCCCGGCUAACUCCGUG
This 433-nucleotide ribosomal RNA is filed under the name uncultured bacterium. RNAcentral's name for it is "partial 16S ribosomal RNA". It matches the Rfam family "Bacterial small subunit ribosomal RNA", at positions 29 to 507 of the family's 1533-position model. The record is from RNAcentral.